Neofelis nebulosa (Clouded leopard) is the source of this 1201-nucleotide long non-coding RNA. RefSeq lists it as uncharacterized. The record is from RefSeq and is a predicted model, not a curated record. Lineage: Eukaryota; Metazoa; Chordata; Mammalia; Carnivora; Felidae. The transcript is spliced from 3 exons.
UGUAAGCCCUGAUCACAAUGAGAGAAGGCUUGUUCUGAUCUUCCCUAAAGUGGCGCACAGAAGGGCCCACUGUAGAUAACUAGUAGAGAUCCUCUGGAGCACAGAUGGCGCCACUUUAAAUAACUAUGCUGUGACCUCACCACUGUGCCCCUCCCUCUAUAAAAGCUGGGGGUAAGGCCCUGGCAGGGUGGAGAGUAGUUGUGUGGUCUUUGGAUUGUUUGCCUGCUGGAUUCUUCUUGUCAGAUGAGGCAUGGUAGGCCAUUGGUGAAAUGCAAGCUCCUGGGAUAUCAAGCUGAUGCUGGAGAGACAGAGCAUGAACAGGGGAGGGUCAGAGAAAGAGGGAGACACAGAAUCCGAAACAGGCUCCAGGCUCCUAGCUGUCAGCACAGAGCCCGACGCGGGGCUCGAACUCACGGACUGCGAGAUCGUGACCUGAGCCCAAGUCGGCCGCUUAACCAACUGAGCCACCUAGGCUAGUCCAAUUUUUUUAAAAGUUUUGAUUGUAAUGAGAACACUUUAUGUGAGAUCUAUCCUCUUAACGAAUUUAAGUAUAUAUUAUUGUUGGCCAUACUUAAAAUGUUGUACAGCCCUCUAGAGCUUUUUACUUGAGUCUGGUUGACACACAAUGUUACGUUAGUGUCAGGUGUGCAACACAGUGAUUCAACAAGCUUAUGCAUCAGGCUAUGCUCACAGCAAGUGUAGCUACCAUCUGUCCCCACAUAUCGCUAUUACAGUAUCACGGACUGUAUUCCCUAUGCUGUGCCUUUUGUUCCCAUGAUUUAUUCAUUCCGUACAUGGAAGCCUGAAACUCCCACUCUCUUUACCCAUUUUGCCCAAACCUCUAUCCCUUUGCCCUCUGGAAACCAUCAGUUUGUUCUCUGUAUUUAUAGGUAUGAUUCUAACUUUUUGUUGAUUUUGUUUAGAUUCCACUUAUGGGUGAAAUCACAUGGUAUUUGUCUUUCUCUGCCUGACUUAUUUCACUUAGCAUAAUACCCUCUAGGUCCUUCCAUGGUGCCUCAAAUGGCAUAAUCUCACCUCACCUUUUAAAUGGCUACACAUUAUCUACCCACCCCCCCCCGACCCCUGUGUGUAUGUGUAUGCAUGUAUGUGUACCACAUCUUAUCCAUUCAUAUAUUGAUGGACAUUUGGGUUGGCUAUCAUGAAUAAUGCUGCAGUAAACAAACAUAAGGGUGCAUAUAAA